GUAGCUGUGGAAGGGCGGCGUAGAAGAGGAAAGGCUGGGGGUUUCGGAUGGUUGUUUUUGAAGCCAUCAGUAUUCUUGAAGAAGCAGCAUAUCUUGAACUGUCCUAUGGGUGAAGGCUUUGAUGUGGUCCUGUAAAAACUGGGAAGAUUUGGAGGAUCAUCUGAAUACCCAUCCAACAGAGAUCCAUGAUUCAUGUAUUUCUCAAGACAGCCAUACACUAAAAUUAUAAGAUCAUAAGAAUAUUAAUUAUAUUCUACCAAUGCAAUACAAGCAUUGAAAUGGAUGGCAUCUGAUCCUGCUUCAUGUGAUUCUUCAUUUAGCUCUGGACUCUUUACAUCAUUAAGCUUAUGCAACAUGAAAAUGGCAAGGAUGAAGACCUUUAUGAUGAUCCAUUUCCAUUUAAUGAAUAGAAGAAGUGUUAUCAAUUCUGUUGAUGGACCCCUUAAUCUCUUCUACUGAUUAUCUUCUACUUGAACCAGUGCCAAAUUAAUGUUGCAAGCUUUGUCUUGAAAUAUGUAAGACUUAUAACUUUGUUGUUAUUCC
RNAcentral lists this long non-coding RNA (543 nucleotides) under Homo sapiens (human). RNAcentral's name for it is "long intergenic non-protein coding RNA 2064". The record is from RNAcentral. Lineage: Eukaryota; Metazoa; Chordata; Mammalia; Primates; Hominidae.